GAUGAAGAACGUAGCGAAAUGCGAUACGUAAUGUGAAUUGCAGAAGUCAGUGAAUCAUCGAAUCUUUGAACGCAUAUUGCGCUCUCUGGUAUUCCGGAGAGCAUGCUUGUUUGAGUAUCAGUAAACACCUCAACUUCCAUAUCUUUUUUGAAAUGGGAGUUGGACUUGAGUGAUCCCAACGCUUUUCCUCACCGAAAAGUGGCGGGUUACUUGAAAUGCAGGUGCAGCUGGACUUUUCUCUGAGCUAUAAGCAUAUCUAUUUAGUCUGCCUAAAAAACAGAUUAUUACCUUUGCUGCAGCUAACAUAAAGGAGAUUAGUUCUUGUGCUGACUGAUGCAGGAUUCACAAAGACAGGCUUCGGCCGACUUUGUAAACUCGAUCUCAAAUCAAGUAAGACUACCCGCUGAACUUAAGCAUAUCAAUAAGCGGAGGA
RNAcentral lists this unclassified non-coding RNA (433 nucleotides) under soil metagenome. Its description in RNAcentral is "partial contains 5.8S ribosomal RNA, internal transcribed spacer 2, and large subunit ribosomal RNA". The stretch from base 1 to 120 matches the Rfam family "5.8S ribosomal RNA", at positions 35 to 154 of the family's 154-position model. The record is from RNAcentral.